RNAcentral lists this unclassified non-coding RNA (499 nucleotides) under uncultured Glomus. RNAcentral describes it as "SSU rRNA". It matches the Rfam family "Eukaryotic small subunit ribosomal RNA", at positions 591 to 1092 of the family's 1831-position model. The record is from RNAcentral. Lineage: Eukaryota; Fungi; Glomeromycota; Glomeromycetes; Glomerales; Glomeraceae.
CCAAUAGCGUAUAUUAAAGUUGUUGCAGUUAAAAAGCUCGUAGUUGAAUUUCGGGACCAUCAUGUCGGUCGUGCCUCGGUACGUACUGGUAUUGUUGGUUUCUCCCUUCUGACGAACCAUGAUGUCAUUUAUUUGGUGUUGUGGGGAAUCAGGACUGUUACUUUGAAAAAAUUAGAGUGUUUAAAGCAGGCUCACGCUUGAAUACAUUAGCAUGGAAUAAUGAAAUAGGACGUUUGAUUCUAUUUUGUUGGUUUCUAGGAUCGACGUAAUGAUUAAUAGGGAUAGUUGGGGGCAUUAGUAUUCAAUUGUCAGAGGUGAAAUUCUUGGAUUUAUUGAAGACUAACUACUGCGAAAGCAUUUGCCAAGGAUGUUUUCAUUAAUCAAGAACGAAAGUUAGGGGAUCGAAGACGAUCAGAUACCGUCGUAGUCUUAACCAUAAACUAUGCCGACUAGGGAUCGGAUGAUGUUAAUUUUUUAAUGACUCAUUCGGCGCCUUACG